This 1138-nucleotide ribosomal RNA is filed under the name uncultured organism. RNAcentral's name for it is "bacterial SSU rRNA". It matches the Rfam family "Bacterial small subunit ribosomal RNA", at positions 217 to 1354 of the family's 1533-position model. The record is from RNAcentral.
GGUCAGAGAUGGGCAUGCGUAACAUUAGCUGGUUGGUGAGGUAACAGCUCACCAACGCUACGAUGUUUAGGGGGUCUGAGAGGAUGGUCCCCCACACUGGUACUGAGACACGGACCAGACUCCUACGGGAGGCAGCAGUGAGGAAUAUUGGUCAAUGGGCGAAAGCCUGAACCAGCCAUGCCGCGUGAAUGAUGACGGCCCUAUGGGUUGUAAACUUCUUUUAUACGGGAAGAAACCCCUCUACGUGUAGGGGGCUGACGGUACCGUACGAAUAAGCAUCGGUUAACUCCGUGCCAGCAGCCGCGGUAAUACGGAGGAUGCAAGCGUUAUCCGGAUUUAUUGGGUUUAAAGGGUGCGUAGGCGGAAAAUUAAGUCAGUGGUGAAAUCCUGCAGCUUAACUGUAGAAUUGUCAUUGAUACUGGUUUUCUUGAAUACAGUUGAGGUAGGCGGAAUGAGUAAUGUAGCGGUGAAAUGCUUAGAUAUUACUCAGAACACCAAUUGCGAAGGCAGCUUACUAAACUGUGAUUGACGCUGAGGCACGAAAGCGUGGGGAGCGAACAGGAUUAGAUACCCUGGUAGUCCACGCCGUAAACGAUGAUCACUCGUUGUUGGCAAUACUCCGUCAGCGACUGAGCGAAAGUAUUAACGUGAUCCACCUGGGGAGUACGAUCGCAAGACUUGAGACUCAAAGGAAUUGACGGGGGCCCGCACAAGCGGAGGAACAUGUGCUCUAAUUCGAUGAUAAGCGAGGAACAUUACCUGGGCUCAAAUGCACAACGACGGAUCGGGAAACUGGUCUUUCUUCGGACGGAAUGCAAGGUCCUGCAUGGCCGUCGUCAGCUCGUCCCGUGAGGUGUCGGGUUAAGUCCCAUAACGAGCGCAACCCUCAUCAUUAGUUGCCAGCGGGUUAUGCCGGGGCGUCUAAUGAAACUGCGCAGGUGUAUUCCGAGAGGUAGCCGCGGAUGACGUCAAGUCAGCUCGGCCCUUAUGUCCAGGGCUACACACGUGUUACAAUGGUCAGUACAAAGGGAAGCGAUCUCGCGAGGGUGACCCAAUCCCAACAAGCAGUCUUCAGUUCGGAUUGGAGUCUGCAACUCGACUCCAUGAAGCUGGAAUCGCUAGUAGUCGCGGAUCAGCA